GCUGCCGGCCCCCCAUCCCCCGCCACGACCCGCAACCCUCCAUCCGGAACGGACACCCAGAUCAUGCCUCCGCUGCUGGUUGGAGGCACCGUCUGGCCAGGGAUGGAACCCCCAGGACGAGGCCCUCUCCAGUCUCCCAGGCCUGCCUGCUCCCCUCACAAGCUCCGUGCCAACAGAGAGGUUCCUGUCCAGACCCAGAACGGUGGGACGGAGACACUGAGACUGAGUGCCGGGCUGGGAAGGCGUCUGCCCCUACCCAAGGGGGACGGCUGGGGCGGCUGGAGACCCCGCCCGCCCACAGCUCGUGCCGCCAGCCUCGCCUUGGCUGCUGGCCUUUCGCCAUCACGAUGGAUGUUUACAGGAGCCCAGCCAGUCUGCCUCCCCGCUCUUCGCCCCCGGCCGCACCGCUUCCCCCACGUCACCUUCCCAGAGGACGCUUCACACUCGGGACACACACACGCAAGCGACUCCCAGCCCCGUCUGAAGCCACUGGGGCCCCGGCCUGGUUGGGUCUGGCCUGAGGCUGGUCCUAGACGCAGUGACUGUGGCAGGGAGUGACUCAGAGGAAAAGAAGCCCAGGAACGUGUCAGCCGAGGGCAGGGUUUCGACUCACUCCUUUCGAGUGGCUGGUUCUUCACCACGUGGCCAGAAGUGACUUCGCACCGGGAGAGGGCCACGUUGCUCCUCUGGCCGGAAAUAUUUUUGAAAAUGUGAGUGGUAUGAAUACUUGACUUCGACAGACCUGUAAAAGCAAUACUUAGGAGCCUGACUUAUUUCAAUUAAAAAAUGUAUGCAACUCCACCCGCUGCGGGCGGCAUUUUUCUUUUUCUCUGAGAUUCGGGAAAGGAGUCCUUGCGCAGAACCUGUGGUUGACAAAGGGCAGAAGAGCCGGGGCCUCCGCAGGUGGAGAUCCCGCAGGGUUUGAAGAGUUUCCUCAGCUGGGCUGGCGGGGGGUCCCAGGCCGCCCCCACCCCCACCUUCCCCAAGCCUGUCAGCCAGGGGGCCUCUGGGGUGUGGGGGGAAGGCCCGUGGCCAUGCAGGAAAUCUGGCCCGCGUCCCAGAGCAGUCAGCGGUGUGGUACGCCCAGCGCUGGGCACACGGAGUCCAAGGAGGGGACGCUCGGAAUCGUGGACCGGAGCAGGCGCUCGAGAGGCCCGGGGGCCAGGUGAGCCCGAGAAGGGAGAGACGUCCCCGGGAGAGGCCCAAGGGGAACGGAGGGGCUUCCAAAGAUGCUGGGACUUGAAAUCCCUCCCCAUGCGGCAUGACCCCAGAUGUCACCAGAUGCCCCGAUUCCUCUGAGCAUUGCUUCCCCCCGACCCCAACAGAGAGGGCUCAGGGAGAACUCCAGCACACUGCGCCCGUGCCCGCGGAGAGGCCCUCCGAGGAAGUCAGAAGUCGUGUUUGCAUCUUGACUCCCUCCUUUAUAGGGGUGUGGCCUUAGGCAGGUCACCUCUUCUGUGAAGUGGGGACAGUAAUUUACCCAUCUCGUCAGAUGACUUUGUGUCCCUUACAAAGGUGCCCCUCCGGGCCGAGGUGGCUCCACACCAGGACUCACAGCUUGGCAAGCAGAGCCCAGACUGCACUGCAGCCCCCAUUUGCCCCCUUGUCCAGGUGCCUUUGUGCAGUGCGCAGACUGCCCAAUCACACCCAACAGUCCUGCUCCGAGAUUUUUUUUUUAAUUUUACUAAAAUUAGAAAGACUUACGAGAGCAUCUUAUUCACCACUGUGCUGUCAGUUCAUAUUUGCGGAAUGAAGAAAGCAGAGUUGUGGGGAUUAUUCAUUCAUUCCACAAACAUUUGCUGAGCACAUACUGUGUCCAAGUUGCCUUGCUGGGUGCAGAGGGCAGACAAGUCACCUGCCCUCCUGGAGCUCCCAUCCCGGCACAAGAGCAGACAAUGCAACAGAUAUGUGUGACAGAGACCAACUAGUGACGGGGUUGGGGCGUGGGGGCGAAGGGCUGUCUGUUUAUAAUGGGGCGGCCUGGGGAGGAGCUGUCCCUUAUGCCGAGUCUUGAAGGAUGGGAAGACGGCAGCUGCGUGAGGAGCCGGGAAGAGCAUUCCAGGCGGAGGGGAGAAAGAAACACCUAUUCGUAGGUAACCAGGACGGCUCACAGGUAUCGAGCCGCAUGCCAGGCCCUUGUUCUCACUGUCAGCUCCUGGAAUCUGCACAUAAGCCCGGGAAGCAGGUCCUUUACUCAUGCCCAUCUUACAGACGAGGAGACCGAGGCACAGAGAAGUAAUCGCACAAGGGGGGUGGUGAGCUGGGCAUCGAGCCCAGGCUGCCCAGCCCUGGAGUCUGUGUUGCUGCCCCUACACCAUGGUCCCUCUUGAGCAGAGGGCUUGGCAUGGUGCCCGGCACAGAGUAACAAUAAUGCUAACAUUUAUUGAGCACUUCCUGUGUCCCUUGCACUGUGAUAAGCACCGUACAUGUAUCAGCUCAUUCAAUAAAUGUUCGUUAUCGUUUAAAAGCUGUAACUGGAUAAUUGCAGCCUCUGACCGCGUUUUGUCUGAACAGACGAGAGCAGGGGGCACAGGAGGUCCCCCCGGCCACCUGCAGGGGGCGGCAGAGGCCUGGACUGGACGGAAGGCGUCUCGGCGCUCCCCCCGCCCCGCGGCUGCACAAAUGGGAGUCCCCUGGACCCCACAGAGGCCGCAGAUGCAGGGUCCCCCUGAGGGCUGAUGCCCGAGUGUUUCAGACCCGAGCCUGGGUCAAGAGUCAAGAUGCCUCACGCCUCUGCAGCUGGGCAGGGGCAGGAAGCGCCGUCUGCGCAAGGACUGCCCGCCAGGCGCCUGGUCCCAACCCCUGGACCCUUCUGGCCCCGACUCCCCCUUGCUGGGAAGAGGAGGCGAGCUUGGGAAGCGGGCAUCAGGGCAGGCGCACUAGAGCCGAGCAGACAGGUCCCCCUGCCACCAGGAGAAGGCCAAGUUGUCCCAAAUGGGGUCUCCCGACUGAGCGGGCCGUGCCGAGCUGUGCAGAGAGCAAAGCUGCCAGGUCCCUUCUGGCCCGCCGUGGCCGAGGCAGGACCUCAGCCUGGCUGCGGACUGGCUCACGGUGGAGCGGGGGCAGACGGAGUCAGUCCCCUCCCCAGCUCGCAGCCCUCCCACCUUGCGGCUCCCGAGCUCUGGAUUUUCCCCAGAAUCUGAGGAAGCCGUAAAGAAAAGCCUUCCCAAAGGACAGGUCCUGGGCCACGGUGGACGCUGCUGUGUGUGUAUCUGUGUGUGUGUGUUGGGGGUGGACUCUGUGUGUGUGUGUGUGUGUAUGUGUCAGGGGGUGGACUCUGCUGUGUGUGUUUGUGUGCAUUGGGGGUGGGGUAGGAGAGUGACAGCCCCUGUCAAACUGGACAGAGAACAUGGCAGAAGUGCUGUGUGGCCUCUAAGGCUGGAUUAUAAAAGGAUACGCUUUCUGUCUUGCGGUCUCUCACUCCUCCCUUUUUGGGUGACCACCCCGAGACCCAGCCACUGCUGUGAGGAAGCCCAAACCAGCCCACGUGGAGAGGUCCCCAUCUCCUCUAACAGUCUCUUUGAGGAACUGUAGUGCAGCCCCCGCCCCUGGCCCGCAUCGAGUGCCAGCCGUGGGAGCAAACGAGCCUGCCGAGGCCGCAGCUGACACUAAGGGGCAGAUGAGCCAGCCUGCCGAGCCCGCCCA
Non-coding RNA from Equus caballus (horse), 3645 nucleotides. Lineage: Eukaryota; Metazoa; Chordata; Mammalia; Perissodactyla; Equidae. The record is from RefSeq and is a predicted model, not a curated record.